This 293-nucleotide ribosomal RNA is filed under the name Zooxanthella nutricula. RNAcentral describes it as "Brandtodinium nutricula partial 28S ribosomal RNA". The record is from RNAcentral. Lineage: Eukaryota; Dinophyceae; Peridiniales.
AACAAGGAUAAGCUCAGCAUGGAAAUCGGGGUCCUGGGCCCUGAAUUGUAGGCUGGAGAGGUAUUACCAGCGGAGGCGCAGAUGUAAGCCUUUUGGAAAAGAGCAUCAACGAGGGUGAGAGUCCCGCUUGUCAUCUGCAGUCCCCCGACGCGCGCAGUGCUUCUUGCUCUACGUGUCAUCUGCGGCCCACAUUUGGGGAAAACUCUGGGGACAUGGUAGCCUGCCCUUGGGUGGGUGAACGUGCUCAGUUGUACCCACUUGGGUGCCGAUUGAUGACUAAAUGGUUCCUUUCG